This 2922-nucleotide ribosomal RNA is filed under the name Staphylococcus pasteuri. Its description in RNAcentral is "23S ribosomal RNA". It matches the Rfam family "Bacterial large subunit ribosomal RNA". The record is from RNAcentral. RNAcentral also lists the same sequence under 2 other names. Lineage: Bacteria; Bacillati; Bacillota; Bacilli; Caryophanales; Staphylococcaceae.
GAUUAAGUUAUUAAGGGCGCACGGUGGAUGCCUUGGCACUAGAAGCCGAAGAAGGACGUUACUAACGACGAUAUGCUUUGGGGAGCUGUAAGUAAGCGUUGAUCCAGAGAUUUCCGAAUGGGGAAACCCAACAUGAGUUAUGUCAUGUUAUCGAUAUGUGAAUACAUAGCAUAUCAGAAGGCAGACCCGGAGAACUGAAACAUCUUAGUACCCGGAGGAAGAGAAAGAAAAAUCGAUUCCCUGAGUAGCGGCGAGCGAAACGGGAAGAGCCCAAACCAACAAGCUUGCUUGUUGGGGUUGUAGGACACUCUAUACGGAGUUACAAAAGUAUAUAUUAGACGAAUCAUCUGGAAAGUUGAAUCAAAGAAGGUAAUAAUCCUGUAGUCGAAAAUAUAUACUCUCUUGAGUGGAUCCUGAGUACGACGGAGCACGUGAAAUUCCGUCGGAAUCUGGGAGGACCAUCUCCUAAGGCUAAAUACUCUCUAGUGACCGAUAGUGAACCAGUACCGUGAGGGAAAGGUGAAAAGUACCCCGGAAGGGGAGUGAAAGAGAACUUGAAACCGUGUGCUUACAAGUAGUCAGAGCCCGUUAAUGGGUGAUGGCGUGCCUUUUGUAGAAUGAACCGGCGAGUUACGAUUUGAUGCAAGGUUAAGCAGUGAAUGUGGAGCCGUAGCGAAAGCGAGUCUGAAUAGGGCGUUGAGUAUUUGGUCGUAGACCCGAAACCAGGUGAUCUACCCUUGGUCAGGUUGAAGUUCAGGUAACACUGAAUGGAGGACCGAACCGACUUACGUUGAAAAGUGAGCGGAUGAACUGAGGGUAGCGGAGAAAUUCCAAUCGAACCUGGAGAUAGCUGGUUCUCUCCGAAAUAGCUUUAGGGCUAGCCUCAAGUGAUGAUUAUUGGAGGUAGAGCACUGUUUGGACGAGGGGCCCUUCUCGGGUUACCGAAUUCAGACAAACUCCGAAUGCCAAUCAAUUUAACUUGGGAGUCAGAACAUGGGUGAUAAGGUCCGUGUUCGAAAGGGAAACAGCCCAGACCACCAGCUAAGGUCCCAAAAUAUAUGUUAAGUGGAAAAGGAUGUGGCGUUGCCCAGACAACUAGGAUGUUGGCUUAGAAGCAGCCAUCAUUUAAAGAGUGCGUAAUAGCUCACUAGUCGAGUGACACUGCGCCGAAAAUGUACCGGGGCUAAACAUAUUACCGAAGCUGUGGAUUGUCCGUAGGACAAUGGUAGGAGAGCGUUCUAAGGGCGUUGAAGCAUGAUCGCAAGGACAUGUGGAGCGCUUAGAAGUGAGAAUGCCGGUGUGAGUAGCGAAAGACGGGUGAGAAUCCCGUCCACCGAUUGACUAAGGUUUCCAGAGGAAGGCUCGUCCGCUCUGGGUUAGUCGGGUCCUAAGCUGAGGCCGACAGGCGUAGGCGAUGGAUAACAGGUUGAUAUUCCUGUACCACCUAGUAUCGUUUUAAUCGAUGGGGGGACGCAGUAGGAUAGGCGAAGCGUGCUAUUGGAUUGCACGUCCAAGCAGUAAGACUGAGUGUUAGGCAAAUCCGGCACUCAUAAGGUCAAGCUGUGAUGGGGAGAGGAAAUUGUUUCCUCGAGUCGUUGAUUUCACACUGCCAAGAAAAGCCUCUAGAUAGAUAACAGGUGCCCGUACCGCAAACCGACACAGGUAGUCAAGAUGAGAAUUCUAAGGUGAGCGAGCGAACUCUCGUUAAGGAACUCGGCAAAAUGACCCCGUAACUUCGGGAGAAGGGGUGCUCUUUAGGGUUAACGCCCAGAAGAGCCGCAGUGAAUAGGCCCAAGCGACUGUUUAUCAAAAACACAGGUCUCUGCUAAACCGUAAGGUGAUGUAUAGGGGCUGACGCCUGCCCGGUGCUGGAAGGUUAAGAGGAGUAGUUAGCUUCUGCGAAGCUACGAAUCGAAGCCCCAGUAAACGGCGGCCGUAACUAUAACGGUCCUAAGGUAGCGAAAUUCCUUGUCGGGUAAGUUCCGACCCGCACGAAAGGCGUAACGAUUUGGGCACUGUCUCAACGAGAGACUCGGUGAAAUCAUAGUACCUGUGAAGAUGCAGGUUACCCGCGACAGGACGGAAAGACCCCGUGGAGCUUUACUGUAGCCUGAUAUUGAAAUUCGGCACAGCUUGUACAGGAUAGGUAGGAGCCUUUGAAACGUGAGCGCUAGCUUACGUGGAGGCAUUGGUGGGAUACUACCCUAGCUGUGUUGGCUUUCUAACCCGCACCACUUAUCGUGGUGGGAGACAGUGUCAGGUGGGCAGUUUGACUGGGGCGGUCGCCUCCUAAAAGGUAACGGAGGCGCUCAAAGGUUCCCUCAGAAUGGUUGGAAAUCAUUCAUAGAGUGUAAAGGCAUAAGGGAGCUUGACUGCGAGACUUACAAGUCGAGCAGGGUCGAAAGACGGACUUAGUGAUCCGGUGGUUCCGCAUGGAAGGGCCAUCGCUCAACGGAUAAAAGCUACCCCGGGGAUAACAGGCUUAUCUCCCCCAAGAGUUCACAUCGACGGGGAGGUUUGGCACCUCGAUGUCGGCUCAUCGCAUCCUGGGGCUGUAGUCGGUCCCAAGGGUUGGGCUGUUCGCCCAUUAAAGCGGUACGCGAGCUGGGUUCAGAACGUCGUGAGACAGUUCGGUCCCUAUCCGUCGUGGGCGUAGGAAAUUUGAGAGGAGCUGUCCUUAGUACGAGAGGACCGGGAUGGACAUACCUCUGGUGUACCAGUUGUCGUGCCAACGGCAUAGCUGGGUAGCUAUGUAUGGACGGGAUAAGUGCUGAAAGCAUCUAAGCAUGAAGCCCCCCUCAAGAUGAGAUUUCCCAACUUCGGUUAUAAGAUCCCUCAAAGAUGAUGAGGUUAAUAGGUUCGAGGUGGAAGCGUGGUGACACGUGGAGCUGACGAAUACUAAUCGAUCGAAGACUUAAUCAA